This is a long non-coding RNA of Morone saxatilis (striped sea-bass), 473 nucleotides long. RefSeq lists it as uncharacterized. The transcript is spliced from 3 exons. Lineage: Eukaryota; Metazoa; Chordata; Actinopteri; Moronidae. The record is from RefSeq and is a predicted model, not a curated record.
CAACUCAAGCUGAUGUCAUUCGCCCGAUUGAAACUUUUGUGCCGUGACCGCUCCAACGUGCCCCCAAAACCCAGGCACCUACAACCAGUCCUCUAACCGGGGGGCUCCUCACAUCAGUAUCCCCCAGCAAGUGUGUGCAGACCGCCCGCAGCAGUCCGCCGCACCGCCUCCGUGCCUCUGUCGCUCUGCAAGGUUCCAUCUGAAAGAAGAAAGUGAGUGAGUGGCAGACUGUGUGUGCAUCGGCAUACAUGCCUGUGUAUGUGUCACCAUGAAGCACCAGUCUAUCUCCCGAUGGCUGAGCCAGCUGGGAUUGCCACAGUACUGCAUAGCACUGGAGCAGGAAUACGAUGGUGUAGAGGACCUGCUCCACCUCUCAGAAUAUGACCUCCUGGAGCUCGGAGUCCACAAUCACCUUCACCGCCUGCACCUCCUCACUUCUCUACGCCUCCUCCAGGAGCGAGAAAGGAGGAGAG